RNAcentral lists this ribosomal RNA (460 nucleotides) under uncultured bacterium. RNAcentral's name for it is "partial 16S ribosomal RNA". It matches the Rfam family "Bacterial small subunit ribosomal RNA", at positions 338 to 795 of the family's 1533-position model. The record is from RNAcentral.
CCUACGGGAGGCUGCAGUGAGGAAUAUUGGUCAAUGGGCGGGAGCCUGAACCAGCCAAGUCGCGUGAGGGAAGACGGUCCUAUGGAUUGUAAACCUCUUUAGGCGGGGAGCAAUGCCGGGCACGUGUGCGCGGAGGGAGAGUACCCGCAGAAAAAGCAUCGGCUAACUCCGUGCCAGCAGCCGCGGUAAUACGGAGGAUGCGAGCGUUAUCCGGAUUUAUUGGGUUUAAAGGGUGCGUAGGCGGAUUCUUAAGUCAGCGGUAAAAUGUCCGUGCUCAACGCGGGACGACCGUUGAAACUGGGGUUCUUGAGUGGGCGAGAAGUAUGCGGAAUGCGUGGUGUAGCGGUGAAAUGCAUAGAUAUCACGCAGAACUCCGAUUGCGAAGGCAGCAUACCGGCGCCCGACUGACGCUGAGGCACGAAAGCGUGGGGAUCGAACAGGAUUAGAUACCCUAGUAGUC